AGCAAAGGGCAGACUUCGUGGCAGAAAGGGACACAUUUGGCUCGGUUACUAAACCCUCUGCCUGCCAUCCUCCUACCAGACUUCCUGCUUAAUCUUUAUUUAAGUCCUUUGAACAAAUGUCCAACAAGGCAAAGAUGCCAGCUGGAUACAGGAUGGAAACUCUGUUGGGGAGGGACAGCCUGUCUUCAGCAGCCUAUCCAGAGGGCCGUACAUAUCACAAGGAACUACUCACUGCUCUUCCCUGUCUGUAAAAAUGCUGUUUACUCACUGAGUUCCACGUCUGAGACCCACAGAGGAGGUGGGACAGAGCCAGUUGGAUGAGCCAGAGAAGGAGCCGGCAAAGAAGCUGCACUUAUCAUCAAGGCUUCAGAAUCAGAUCAGUACUCACUGGUUAUAUCCCUAUUGUAUGUCUUCAAAGACUACCUGAUGUCACAGAUGUUACCCCAAAACUCAGCCUGAACAACAGCUGGAGCUGGGGUGGCAAAAAGACCCGCCCCCUCUUCUCCACUUUCUCGGCUCCAGCGUUGCAACAUUACCCAGACUUGCUUCCCUACCCUGAAAACUGGAAUGCAUUGGCCCUCUGCAUCCAAAACAAACACGAGUCUAGCUUCCCAGCACUUCCCGUCUUCACCAGGUUCAUUCCAGGAGCUUGACUUUGAACAAGAUGAAACAUGCGCGUAGCUGAAAUCAAACUGGGUACUACGGAAAUGUUGAAAGAGGGCACUAAGUCUCAGGUCUUCCGGACAGUCCAGAUUCAUCCCACAGCAAAUGUUCCUUACACUGCUGCUCUUCCGGUAAGCGGAAAGGAAGAAAUAAGUCAUCGCAUGCCUAUAUAAACUGUCUCAAACCAAGGAGCCAAGAGGUAGAAGAGAUGAUAUGGAAUGCAAAUUUUUUAAAAAUUGAUUGAUUCGAGAAACUUCUGUUGCUGGAGAUAAAAGGGAGAGAAAACCUAAGCUUAUAUCCACUAAAAUUUCAAAAAGCAUUUGGUCACACAUUAAAGUUGCUUGCCCUAGUAUCUCACUGCCCAGGUCACAUGCUCCCUGUGCCAUGCAGACACAGAAAAUAAGGGUCAGUAUGAAGCUGCGCCUGUAAGUCACUGCCACUGUUAAGAUAUCCACCUAGGGACAAGAGUCCAGUGUUUCAACGCUGCCUUGCAUCAAAAGAAGACAGCAUCUGCCUCCUGUACUCCAACUUCUGCCUUAGUAUCGAUGGCAUAUUAAGCUAACACAUCCCUCUUGCCCAGGAGAUGCUCUCUGAGAUGUAACUUUCCCCCCUUCAGAACCCCUUUCUGGUCUUUGCCUGGACACAGAAUCCCCCAUAUUAUGUAGAAAAGCAAUUUGCCCAUUAAAACAUGCUGACCCUUUUAAACAUUUUCUCAGAAAUGAAUAUGAGAUGGAACAGGAGGUUUGGGGGAAGAAAAUCCCUGCCUAAUGAACACAGACACACUUGGCUGGCACUGGGCUGGGUGGCUUUUGUCCUUCUCUUCUUACCCAGAAUACAGCUGUGACGGGUGACAGCAGCAGUUUCCAAAGCCACACACAAAAGGGGCUUGGGUAAGAAGCUGGAACAGGGGCUGGGUCAAGAGGGUGUACCCCUCUGAACUAGUUAUAACUAGGCUUCUUGCCAUCAAUAAGUAAAUAAAUGACUUUUGAAUUUA
Myodes glareolus (Bank vole) is the source of this 1657-nucleotide non-coding RNA. The record is from RefSeq and is a predicted model, not a curated record. Lineage: Eukaryota; Metazoa; Chordata; Mammalia; Rodentia; Cricetidae.